This 343-nucleotide transfer-messenger RNA is filed under the name Nitrospirota bacterium. Its description in RNAcentral is "Nitrospirae bacterium transfer-messenger RNA". It matches the Rfam family "transfer-messenger RNA". Rfam says of the family: Bacterial tmRNA, also known as 10Sa RNA or SsrA, is named for its dual tRNA and mRNA-like properties. Its role is to liberate the mRNA from a stalled ribosome. The record is from RNAcentral. Lineage: Bacteria; Pseudomonadati; Nitrospirota.
GGGGGUGACUUGGAUUCGACGGGGAUCGGAAGCCUGUGGCGCAUGCCGAGGUCCGGCGGCCUCGUUAAACAGCCGGAAAACCACAACUGCCGAGCCUGAGCUCGCACUCGCGGCGUAAGCCGCGCGUCCCUCCCCGCUGGUGCCUGCGGCACGGGUGAGGGGCGUCAGAGACCGCAGGCUGCGGCCCGCGGCGCCCCGACGCGGGCUCAAGACCAGGGGCUUCGGGCGGCGCUUGGCCCUGUCUGUGGGGCGGGCGCGGCCGACGACAAACACAGACUAAGCAUGUAGGGCCACAGCAGCGGAAGCUCCCCGGACGCGGGUUCGAUUCCCGCCACCUCCACCA